This 433-nucleotide ribosomal RNA is filed under the name uncultured bacterium. Its description in RNAcentral is "partial 16S ribosomal RNA". It matches the Rfam family "Bacterial small subunit ribosomal RNA", at positions 29 to 507 of the family's 1533-position model. The record is from RNAcentral.
AACGAACGCUGGCGGCAUGCCUAACACAUGCAAGUCGAACGAGACCUUCGGGUCUUGUGGCGCACGGGUGCGUAACGCGUGGGAACCUGCCCUUAGGUUCGGAAUAACUCCCCGAAAGGGGUGCUAAUACCGGAUAAUGUCUUCGGACCAAAGAUUUAUCGCCUUUGGAUGGGCCCGCGUUGGAUUAGCUAGUUGGUAGGGUAAAAGCCUACCAAGGCGACGAUCCAUAGCUGGUCUGAGAGGAUGAUCAGCCACACUGGGACUGAGACACGGCCCAGACUCCUACGGGAGGCAGCAGUGGGGAAUAGUGGACAAUGGGCGAAAGCCUGAUCCAGCAAUGCCGCGUGAGUGAUGAAGGCCUGAGGGUUGUAAAGCUCUUUUAACCGGGAUGAUAAUGACAGUACCGGGAGAAUAAGCUCCGGCUAACUCCGUG